Molecule: unclassified non-coding RNA, 240 nt
Filed under: soil metagenome
Description: partial contains 5.8S ribosomal RNA, internal transcribed spacer 2, and large subunit ribosomal RNA
Source: RNAcentral
AACGGUCUAUACCUGCGGUACCUGCGGAAGGAUCAUUACUGGUAUUUUUGAGAUACUAGCGCCGGUUUUGUUAUCUCGAGAGGGAUGAUUUAACCAGCAUCAAACAGGGUGUUGGGUGGCGGUACUAAAGAGUGCUGCCACUCACGCCUAUACAACAAAACACACCAAUAACACAAUUUGUCUGAUUAAAUCAAUAUAAAAUACAACUUUCAACAACGGAUCUCUAGAUCGGAAGAGCAC